This 785-nucleotide unclassified non-coding RNA is filed under the name uncultured Saprolegnia. Its description in RNAcentral is "partial contains 5.8S rRNA, ITS2, and 28S rRNA". The stretch from base 434 to 785 matches the Rfam family "Eukaryotic large subunit ribosomal RNA", at positions 1 to 349 of the family's 3401-position model. Lineage: Eukaryota; Oomycota; Saprolegniomycetes; Saprolegniales. The record is from RNAcentral.
UGCGAUACGUAAUGCGAAUUGCAGAAUUCAGUGAGUCAUCAAAAUUUUGAACGCAUAUUGCACUUCCGGGUUAGUCCUGGGAGUAUGUUUGUAUCAGUGUCCGUGAACACAAGCUUGUUUCAUUUUUCAAUGGAGCAGACUGUGAGGGUCUUGCUUUUGCAAGUCCCUUUAAACGACGGUACCUGUGCGUCCUUGUGAGGUGCAUUAAAUAAAGGUAUGCCUGUGCUUGGAUCGAGAGUCUUGUGUGGUAGCACGCGGCAUUCAAAGAGAGAGCAAAUCGCGGUAGUUUUGCUUGUGCUUCGGUACGAGUAGACAUAUAUUGCUUUUUGUGAUCUCGGCGAGUCUGUUGUUUAAGCCCAGGACGCGUUUCGAGAGCUUGCAUGCUGGUGCACUUCUUGGCGUACGGAGGCAAAUUGGGAAUUCAAUCCAAUUUGGACCUGAUAUCGAACAAGACUACCCGCUGAACUUAAGCAUAUCAUUAAGCGGAGGAAAAGAAACUAACAAGGAUUCCCCCAGUAACGGCGAGUGAAGCGGGAAGAGCUCAAGCUUAAAAUCUCCAUACUUGUAUGGCGAAUUGUAGUCUAUUGAGGCUGUUGUCAGCAUCGCGAUUGGGGACAAGUCCCUUGGAAAAGGGCAGCAUGGAGGGUGAUACUCCCGUCUCUGCUCCAAUUUGCGGUGUGUACGAUACGCUUUCUUUGAGUCGAGUUGUUUGGGAAUACAGCUCAAAGUAGGUGGUAAAUUCCAUCUAAAGCUAAAUAUUGGUGCGAGACCGAUAGCGAACAAGU